This 446-nucleotide ribosomal RNA is filed under the name uncultured bacterium. RNAcentral describes it as "bacterial SSU rRNA". It matches the Rfam family "Bacterial small subunit ribosomal RNA", at positions 330 to 792 of the family's 1533-position model. The record is from RNAcentral.
UCCAGACUCCUACGGGAGGCAGCAGUGGGGGAUAUUGCACAAUGGGGGGAACCCUGAUGCAGCGACGCCGCGUGGGUGAAGGAGCGUUUCGGCGCGUAAAGCCCUCUCGGCAGGGAAGAAGGAGGACGGUACCUGACUAAGAAGCCCCGGCUAACUACGGGCCAGCAGCCGCGGUAAUACGUAGGGGGCAAGCGUUAUCCGGAUUUACUGGGUGUAAAGGGGGCGCAGACGGCAGCGCAAGCCAGGAGUGAAAGCCCGGGGCCCAACCCCGGGACUGCUCUUGGAACUGCGCGGCUGGAGUGCAGGAGGGGCAGGCGGAAUUCCUGGUGUAGCGGUGAAAUGCGUAGAUAUCAGGAGGAACACCGGUGGCGAAGGCGGCCUGCUGGACUGCGACUGACGUUGAGGCCCGAAAGCGUGGGGAGCAAACAGGAUUAGAUACCCCGGUA